RNAcentral lists this ribosomal RNA (529 nucleotides) under uncultured bacterium. RNAcentral's name for it is "bacterial SSU rRNA". It matches the Rfam family "Bacterial small subunit ribosomal RNA", at positions 777 to 1304 of the family's 1533-position model. The record is from RNAcentral.
AAUAGAUACCCUGGUAGUCCACGCCGUAAACGAUGAGUGCUAAGUGUUAGGGGGUUUCCGCCCCUUAGUGCUGCAGCUAACGCAUUAAGCACUCCGCCUGGGGAGUACGGCCGCAAGGCUGAAACUCAAAGGAAUUGACGGGGGCCCGCACAAGCGGUGGAGCAUGUGGUUUAAUUCGAAGCAACGCGAAGAACCUUACCAGGUCUUGACAUCCUCUGACAAUCCUAGAGAUAGGACGUUCCCCUUCGGGGGACAGAGUGACAGGUGGUGCAUGGUUGUCGUCAGCUCGUGUCGUGAGAUGUUGGGUUAAGUCCCGCAACGAGCGCAACCCUUGAUCUUAGUUGCCAGCAUUCAGUUGGGCACUCUAAGGUGACUGCCGGUGACAAACCGGAGGAAGGUGGGGAUGACGUCAAAUCAUCAUGCCCCUUAUGACCUGGGCUACACACGUGCUACAAUGGAUGGUACAAAGGGCUGCAAGACCGCGAGGUUUAGCCAAUCCCAUAAAACCAUUCUCAGUUCGGAUUGCAGG